UCCCUGAUGGCUCAGACAGUGAAAGCAUCUGCCUACAACGCGGGAGACCCAGGUUCGAUCCCUGGGUCGAGAA
This is a non-coding RNA of Bos taurus (domestic cattle), 73 nucleotides long. NCBI's taxonomy places the organism in Eukaryota, Metazoa, Chordata, Mammalia, Artiodactyla, Bovidae. The record is from Rfam.